Long non-coding RNA from Myotis davidii, 387 nucleotides. RefSeq lists it as uncharacterized. NCBI's taxonomy places the organism in Eukaryota, Metazoa, Chordata, Mammalia, Chiroptera, Vespertilionidae. The transcript has 3 exons. The record is from RefSeq and is a predicted model, not a curated record.
CUGCAUGGUUUCUGCAUUCAGUAGUUUAUUCCUGCCGGGUGUUCAAAGGACAGUGCAAUAUAAAUUCAGUAUCUGGCAUCGUUGGUUUUCUUGGCUUUGUGGAUGUUAAACCUGGUAUUUUUAUUGAAACAUUAUUCUUACAGUUCUUACUCUUCAGUUAGACAUAAGUAAUCUUUGGUAGGAACUAAUACUUGUCUUUUUCUAGGGUGUCAGAAACUAAAAAACCAGGCAGAUCCAUCUACUCAGACCCUAACCAUGGCCCUAAAGUAAAUUGCUUGAAGAAAUUAGUUCCCAACGAUUAUAGGUGCAGAGUUUUUGAAGUAUGUCCAUAUUCAAGUGUAGAUCAAAGAAGCUCAAUUAAAAGGAUUCUGGCAAGUUACUGUCUUU